Molecule: long non-coding RNA, 940 nt
Filed under: Mus musculus (house mouse)
Lineage: Eukaryota; Metazoa; Chordata; Mammalia; Rodentia; Muridae
Description: long non-coding RNA chrX:7697176-7698116
Source: RNAcentral
GAGCUAAACUUCCCAGCAAGCGGAGCGCUCGCCUGUGACUCGAGCGAAGAUGGCGGGCCGUGAGAGUCCGCCGCCGUCUGCCCCGUCAAUGGCUCCAAUUUCUUUCGGGUUCACUCGCACGUCUGUCCGGAGGCGACUGGCAGACCUCGGAGAUAGCGAAAGACAGGCCCCAGAGGAGAAAGAUUUCUUGGCGACCGUGGAAGGGAGGAAGCUGCAGAGGUGAAACGCCGGGUCUUUCGCGUUUUGGAAAUCUGUGAAAUGGGCUUAAGCAGGAGGGCAGAGUAAGAGUUGUUUGUCCUGGUGACAGUGGCCUGGAAAGCCUGAAACACUGCCUCGGGAAAUUUAUGGAGGUAACCAGGAGUGGCGGCAAACGCCUAUAAGUCAGGACCUGGGAGGCUGGCGCAGGAGGAUCAGGAAUUGAACGCUAGCCUGGGCAACUAAAAAACAAACAGGAAGAACAUAAGAAUGUAAGGGCAAGAAGAGGGAGGUUUGUUAGGUGGGUGAAAUGGGGCCUGAGAACCAGAGGUAUAGAUUCCUCAGAAAAAAUGUCGUUGGGACUUGAGUAUGUGUGCCUUUUGAGAAAGGGAAAGGAGGGAAAAAUGACAGGAUUCUUCCUGUCUCAGCUGAAAUUGUGGGAGCUUCUCCGAUUUGGAGAACUAGGCAAAUUCAAGUCUGGGGAGGCCAUCAGCAGUAUAAUUAAGUAAGAAACAAAGGUCCGAAAGGCCUAAGUGGGGGACUUGUAAAAGGCAGCUUGCCGGCCCGGAACCGGGAAGAAUCUGGACUAAAGAUGGUGAUUUUUAGGCCAUUGUGGUUGAAGGCCUAAGGCUGAUUCCCACAAGACAUACUUAAAGAGAUCCAUGGUUGUAAUUCCAGCACUAGGGGAUUGCACCAGGCUGACUGAGAGUUUAUAAGACCAGCCUGAGCUAAAUCGUGAGAUGUC